UGGGGAAUAUUGCACAAUGGGCGAAAGCCUGAUGCAGCGACGCCGCGUGAGGGAUGACGGCCUUCGGGUUGUAAACCUCUUUCAGUAGGGACGAAGCGCAAGUGACGGUACCUGCAGAAGAAGCACCGGCUAACUACGUGCCAGCAGCCGCGGUAAUACGUAGGGUGCGAGCGUUGUCCGGAAUUACUGGGCGUAAAGAGCUCGUAGGCGGUUUGUCACGUCGUCUGUGAAAUCCUAGGGCUUAACCCUGGACGUGCAGGCGAUACGGGCUGACUUGAGUACUACAGGAGAGACUGGAAUUUCUAGUGUAGCGGUGAAAUGCACGGAUGUCAGGAAGAACGCCGAUGGCGAAGGGAGGUCUCAGGGUAGGAACAGACGCUGGAGAGCGAAAGCAUGAGUAGCGAACAGG
Molecule: ribosomal RNA, 409 nt
Filed under: bacterium
Lineage: Bacteria
Description: partial 16S ribosomal RNA
Rfam family: Bacterial small subunit ribosomal RNA
Source: RNAcentral